AUUGAACGCUGGCGGCAGGCCUAACACAUGCAAGUCGAGCGAGCGGCGGACGGGUGAGUAAUUUAUGGGGAUCUGCCCGAUCGAGGGGGCUAACUACUGGAAACGGUGGCUAAUACCGCAUACUAUCGGAUGAACCCAUAUGGGAUUAGCUAGUUGGUGGGGUAAAGGCUCACCAAGGCGACGCUCCCUAGCUGGUCUGAGAGGAUGAUCAGCCACACUGGGACUGAGACACGGCCCAGACUCCUACGGGAGGCAGCAGUGGGGAAUAUUGGACAAUGGGCGAAAGCCUGAUGCAGCCAUGCCGCGUGUAUGAAGAAGGCCUUAGGGUUGUAAAGUACUUUCAUCGGGGAGGCGUUACCCACAGAAGAAGCACCGGCUAACUCCGUGCCAGCAGCCGCGGUAAUUC
This 406-nucleotide ribosomal RNA is filed under the name uncultured bacterium. RNAcentral describes it as "partial 16S ribosomal RNA". It matches the Rfam family "Bacterial small subunit ribosomal RNA", at positions 30 to 526 of the family's 1533-position model. The record is from RNAcentral.